RNAcentral lists this long non-coding RNA (2238 nucleotides) under Gossypium barbadense (sea-island cotton). RNAcentral describes it as "long non-coding RNA (GBAR_LNC013817)". The record is from RNAcentral. Lineage: Eukaryota; Viridiplantae; Streptophyta; Magnoliopsida; Malvales; Malvaceae.
CUGUUCUUUUUGACACAAUGUAUAGAAUUAUCUUGUAACACCCCAAACCUAACUUAGACGUUAUGAUCAGAUCCGGAGUUGUUAUCUAAAUUCGUUCGAAAAUCCAAAAACUAUUUUGAAACAGUAAAAUAAUUAAAGCCAACAUGGAGUGAAUAAAACUCCAGUUUGAUUGAGGAAAACUUCCCUUUAAAUAAUGUAUUAGUUUUGCUGAUGAUCACUUUAAAAUCACUUAGUUUUGCAGUGGAAUUUCUUAAUUAAAUAAAAUUUUGGAAAACACGAUUUGAUUUUGAAGUCCAUCAUUUGCAGAAAGAUUUGAUAUCAUCUAAAACGUUUUAAUGGUUCUAAAUGAAAAAUAAAAAUAAAAUUGGAUUUAAAAGCAGUCCCAAAAAUCCGAAACAGUCCCAAAUUUCGAAAUAGUCCAACGGAACGAAAUUAGAUUAAGUAGGACAAAAGUUAAGGAAAUGCAAAGCAAAUAUGUAAAACCGAGCUCUCGUCACACCGAUCCGUCUUAUGUCUGAGGGUUACCUGAGAAUCAAAAAAUCAGAGAGUGAGCUUACGAGCUCAGUGUAUAACUCAAUACACACAAUAAAUCAGAUACACAUGCUUAAAUAGAUUACGGAACUGAUAUAGACAUCAAUGCAUAGCAGAUACAGAUUCAAAUGCAUAAUAGAUAUAGAUUCAAAUCCUACCCCUAUCCACUACACACCAUCUCCGACCAUUCCUAAACACUAAUUAGGAUAUUAAAUACCUAUCCAGCCCCACACACCGCUAAGUGAUCAUAUGUCACUUUAUAGAAUAUAUGCAGACUAACCCCCUGAUCAAAAUGUCAUAACCCACCUGAAACAGAUAUAUGUGGCUGAGCCACCAAAUACGGUAGAUAAAUUAAACUGCUCACACUUCCUCCAUAAUUAUAAUCCCACCCCAAUACAUAUGUAGAACUAAACAAAUAUCAUAUAUGUGUAUUACAUACAUGCUUUACACAUCAGAUUCAGAUAAUAUUAACAUAUAACAGAUCAUGCUAUCACAUAUAACAUACUACUCAUGUGUUCAUAAAUCAUAUUUAACACUAACAGAGCAUCAAAAAUCAUGAUUUAUAGACCAAUUUGUACCAUACGGACCCUAUGGAAGGGCUAUAUUCGAUUCAUACAAUGAUUACAACCUUAGGGAUAAAUUUCAAAUUUUGGGCUCACACGCCUGUGUGGCCCACACGGCCCAAUUGACCUAGACCAUGUGGCAUCGAUAGUCCAAUUUUUCAGCUUUCAGUUGUUUACUAUUUUUCGAGUUUUCGUUACACAUCUGGAAGUUUUCCGAUGUAAGUUCCAAAAACGAGUAUAACAGCACCUAAAAACAUAAUACACUUAACGAAUUAGCCAACAAUAAUGAAUCGAUUUGAGAGGAUAAACUCCUCGAUUUUCCUAAAAUAUCAAUCCAACCCACAAAACCAUUAACCCAAACAGCCACAACAGUUCCAAAUUGGCAUAAAUCCCUUACCCUUGGACGUACAAAACACCUUCACAAGCCUUAAUCCUCCAGUGGAUUAAUCGUUCCGUGACCUUCACCUAGAUAUCCCAAAAAAUUAAUAACAGAAAACGCAAUACUUAAACCCCAACUUAGCAAAAAAAAAAAAACAAAUAAUGAAAGGAAAAUUUUCAGUAAUAGAAUAAACAAAUAUCGACAGUACUUACUCAAGAAUCGAGUUACAAACAAUUCAAUCAACACCCACCACCGAAAUUGAGUACCACAAGAACAACAAGUCAAGAACACAAAGAAAAUUUUGGGAAACAAAAUCAAGAAAGGAAGAAAGAAAAUUCGAAGACCUUCCUUUCCUAGAAUCCACGUGAAAAGGAAAGAGAAACAAAGUGAACAGAAUAGGGAGAAAAGAAGGAAUGUGCGAAGUGGGGAAAGUUUUUGAGAAAUCUUUUUUUUUUUAAAUUUCAAAAUAAAAUAAAAAUAAUAAAAUAAAAUCCAACUCAAAACCCAAAUAUAAGCUGACUCCUUACCACUAAGCUAGCUGGAUCAUUCUUAGCGCAAAUUUUGUAAAAAUAAAAUUUAAGCCUAAUAAACAGAGAUAGGAAUAGAAACAAAAAUAGCAAAAAUUUCAAAAAGCGAGAUUUGAACAUAUGACUUCAAACAUAUAUCUAAAGCACUUAAUCAUUAAAGCGAAUCACUUGACAAAAUUUAACAAACCAAAGCUCAAUUUUUUGUGGCGUUUCAACGCGCUUGAACUCACGUCCUCCU